AGAGUUUGAUCAUGGCUCAGGACGAACGCUGGCGGCGUGCUUAAUACAUGCAAGUCGAGCGAGGUUACUGUUUUGGAUCCCUUCGGGGUGAAGAAGCUUUAACCUAGCGGCGGACGGGUGAGUAACGCGUGGGUAACCUACCCCAAAGUCCGGGAUAACAGCGGGAAACCGCUGCUAAUACCGGAUGCCUUUACCUUGGGGCAUCUUGAGGUAAAGAAAGGUAACGCUUUGGGAUGGGCCCGCGUCCCAUUAGCUAGUUGGUGAGGUAACGGCUCACCAAGGCGACGAUGGGUAGCCGGCCUGAGAGGGUGGACGGCCACACUGGGACUGAGACACGGCCCAGACUCCUACGGGAGGCAGCAGUAGGGAAUAUUGCGCAAUGGACGGAAGUCUGACGCAGCGACGCCGCGUGAGCGAUGAAGGUCUUCGGAUCGUAAAGCUCUGUCCUUGGGGAAGAAGGUCUUCGGACUUGACGGUACCCAAGAAGAAAGCCCCGGCUAACUACGUGCCAGCAGCCGCGGUAAUACGUAGGGGGCGAGCGUUGUCCGGAAUUACUGGGCGUAAAGGGUGCGUAGGCGGCCCUUUAAGUCGGAUGUGAAAGCCCGCGGCUUAACCGCGGAAUGGCAUUCGAAACUGGAGGGCUUGAGUGUCGGAGAGGGUAGUGGAAUUCCCAGUGUAGCGGUGAAAUGCGUAGAUAUUGGGAGGAACACCAGUGGCGAAGGCGACUACCUGGACGAUAACUGACGCUGAGGCACGAAAGCUAGGGGAGCAAACAGGAUUAGAUACCCUGGUAGUCCUAGCCGUAAACGAUGGGUACUAGGUGUGGGUGGUUUCGAUACCAUCCGUGCCGUAGUUAACGCAUUAAGUACCCCGCCUGGGGAGUACGUGCGCAAGCAUGAAACUCAAAUGAAUUGACGG
Molecule: ribosomal RNA, 918 nt
Filed under: uncultured bacterium
Lineage: Bacteria
Description: bacterial SSU rRNA
Rfam family: Bacterial small subunit ribosomal RNA
Source: RNAcentral